Molecule: ribosomal RNA, 402 nt
Filed under: uncultured bacterium
Lineage: Bacteria
Description: bacterial SSU rRNA
Rfam family: Bacterial small subunit ribosomal RNA
Source: RNAcentral
UGGGGAAUCUUGCACAAUGGGGGCAACCCUGAUGCAGCGACGCCGCGUGAGCGAUGAAGCCCUUCGGGGCGUAAAGCUCUUUCGACCGGAACGAUACUGACGGUACCGGGAGAAGAAGCUGCGGCCAACUACGUGCCAGCAGCCGCGGUAAUACGUAGGCAGCAAGCGUUGUUCGGAGUUACUGGGCGUAAAGAGUGCGUAGGCGGUUUUCUAAGUUCGGUGUGAAAUCUCCCGGCUUAACUGGGAGGGUGCGCCGAAGACUGGGAGGCUGGAGUGUGGGAAAGGCAGGCGGAAUUCCUGGUGUAGCGGUGAAAUGCGUAGAUAUCAGGAGGAACACCGGCGGUGUAGACGGCUUGCUAGACCAUAACUGACGCUGAGGAACGAAAGCGUGGGUAGCAAACA